CGAGUCGGCCGGGCGGUCGCGUCACCGGGGCGACCCGGUGCCGAGGAAGGUCCGGACUCCACAGGGCAGGGUGGUGGCCAACAGCCACCCGGGGUGACCCGCGGGACAGUGCCACAGAGAGCAGACCGCCUCUCGCCCUCCGGGGCGAGCGGUAAGGGUGAAACGGUGGUGUAAGAGACCACCAGCGCCCGGGGUGACCCGGGCGGCUCGGCAAACCCCACCUGGAGCAAGGCCGAACAGGGAGCGUCCGAGGGCUGCCCGCCCGAGCUCCCGGGUAGGCCGCUGGAGGCUGUCGGCAACGGCAGCCCGAGAUGGAUGACCGCCGGCCGCCGCGCGAGCGGCGGUGCACAGGAUCCGGCCUACAGGCCGGCUCGUCCC
RNAcentral lists this RNase P RNA (378 nucleotides) under Motilibacter rhizosphaerae. RNAcentral's name for it is "Actinomycetales bacterium RS-16 Bacterial RNase P class A". It matches the Rfam family "Bacterial RNase P class A". Rfam says of the family: Ribonuclease P (RNase P) is a ubiquitous endoribonuclease, found in archaea, bacteria and eukarya as well as chloroplasts and mitochondria. Its best characterised activity is the generation of mature 5'-ends of tRNAs by cleaving the 5'-leader elements of precursor-tRNAs. The record is from Rfam by way of RNAcentral. Lineage: Bacteria; Bacillati; Actinomycetota; Actinomycetes; Motilibacterales; Motilibacteraceae.